Molecule: unclassified non-coding RNA, 297 nt
Filed under: uncultured fungus
Lineage: Eukaryota; Fungi
Description: sequence contains ITS1
Rfam family: 5.8S ribosomal RNA (bases 1-105)
Source: RNAcentral
GAAAUGCGAUAAGUAAUGUGAAUUGCAGAAUUUAGUGAAUCAUCGAAUCUUUGAACGCACAUUGCGCCCCUCGGUAUUCCGGGGGGCAUGCCUGUUCGAGCGUCAUCUUCACCUCUCAAGCCUGGCUUGGUUAUGGGCGUGUGUCUGGUGGAUGGACUCGCCUCAAAAGCAAUCAGCGGAGCCGCCGGGGCCGAACGUAGUGACAUUUACCUCGUUACGGUGUUGCGGCGGGGCCUUCGUCAUGACUUCAUAUCUAAGAUUGACCUCGGAUCAGGUAGGGAUACCCGCUGAACUUAA